RNAcentral lists this ribosomal RNA (305 nucleotides) under uncultured bacterium. Its description in RNAcentral is "bacterial SSU rRNA". It matches the Rfam family "Bacterial small subunit ribosomal RNA", at positions 337 to 639 of the family's 1533-position model. The record is from RNAcentral.
UCCUACGGGGGGCAGCAGUGAGGAAUAUUGGUCAAUGGGCGCGAGCCUGAACCAGCCAAGUCGCGUGAGGGAAGACGGUCCUAUGGAUUGUAAACCUCUUUUGUCGGGGAGCAAAAGACGCCACGCGUGGCGUUCCGAGAGUACCCGAAGAAAAAGCAUCGGCUAACUCCGUGCCAGCAGCCGCGGUAAUACGUAGGGGGCGAGCGUUAUCCGGAUUUACUGGGUGUAAAGGGAGCGUAGACGGUUCUGCAAGUCUGAAGUGAAAGCCCGUGGCUUAACCGCGGAACGGCUUUGGAAACUGUGGG